Schistocerca serialis cubense is the source of this 6314-nucleotide long non-coding RNA. RefSeq lists it as uncharacterized. The transcript is spliced from 2 exons. NCBI's taxonomy places the organism in Eukaryota, Metazoa, Arthropoda, Insecta, Orthoptera, Acrididae. The record is from RefSeq and is a predicted model, not a curated record.
UUCCUUUCUUCAGCAAAUUAUUUAAAAUGUUCCUACGUACAUAAAUGUAUAAUUCUUGACAUCUCUUGCUGAUUCAGUUUCAUUUGAUUUAUCUCUCUUCAAAUGGAACAGAUAUCUCACAUCUUCAUUGCUAUUGUUUUUACUACAGAACUAGUUCUUGCAGGUAGGUAAGUAAUAAUCAAAAUUUGGUUGACACAGAAAUUGUUUCAUGAGGUGGUGUAAAUGCAGCUGGAAAUGUGUGUCAGAGAGAGAGAGAGAGAGAGAGAGAGAGAGAGAGAGAGAGAGAGAGAGAGUUGCACUACUGAAUUUUGUUAUCCGGAGCAUUUUUCAGCAGUCUCGAUGACAGUAUAUUCUCCUACAGAACAUGUGUCCUAAUUUGAAUUGAGAGAGGCAAAUGGGUUCUAAAAUCUCUCAACUCUGCAAAAUGUUUGGCGGAGUAUUAUAUUUGCAUUUAACACAAUUUAUAUAGAAUUAACUUUGUUAUGCAAAGAUUGAAAAAUUUAAAUUUUGUUGUGGAGAAUACAUUACAUAUUUUGUAUUAUGACCAGAUAAUGUAACUUCCGUAUUUGAAGUAACAGCAGCUCAGGUGAACAAAAUUGUUAAACUAGGUACUUUUUCUUUUUGUUUAAAUUGUAGCCGCCAUCUAGAUUGCUUCUAUAAUUGUAUUGUAUUGGACAAUAACUACAGUUGAGGUGAACAAAAUUAUGUUAACCUAAGUACUUUGUAUUUUAGGUUAAAUUGUAAUCUCCAUCUAGGUUGCUUGUAUAAAUAUAUUGUAUUGGACUGUGAAAGUGGUGCAUAACAUGCAAGAAAUUUCUGCAGAGUGUGUGUACAUUAAAAAAUUGCAUUCAUUAAAUAACUGUAGUGUUACUGUUUGAAAUUAACUUCCUUUGUGCUGAUCCAUGUCGUUAGAUAUCGCUUGUGCACACAUGCAUCUUGCAGUGACCUGCUUGUGUGUAAUUUUUUGGAUCUGAUACAUUCAGCAAAUAUUGAUUUACAACAUGGCCAAAUAAUGUACUUCCAGUGUAAAAUAACACAGCAUUGGGUGACUGUAUUGGCUCCGCAUACCUCUUUUAAUUACAUAGUAUCACUACAGUAUGAGUGAGCUUACAAAUGUUAAGGAGCUACAUUGAUAGCCAAAUUUAAUGAGGAAUUAGUAUAAUAAUUCAUAAUGCAACAGUGGCCAUUUCAUGAGAAACAAGUUUUUGACAAUCUUGUAAAUGUUAAUUUCAUGCCAAAUUGCGAAUUAGCUCUUCAUUGCUUUUUUUUUUUUUUCCACCCAGCUAUAUGGGAAGACCACUCCAUCCAAAUUUAUGGUGUUACCAUGAUAGUGUACAUUUGGAUUUGUUUCACAUUUGUUUUAUUGCUGAUGUUACUGUUUUACAUAUGUUUAAGGAUACAAAUGUCUAGAUAACAAGGCUUGUGAAUAACCAGGCUAAUCGUAAGAAAAAGACAAGUGUUGCUCUUUUUUUCACAACUACGAAGAUUUAGUUUCCUGACUGUAUGGUUCAAGGAGUCAAUGGAAACAAUGUUUUGAUGUCAUUUAUGUGAAUAUUGUAAUAGUUGUUUCAUUGUGAACAUAACUGCAUUUAAUUUAUGUUGGACAUUGAUAAUGUUUCUGUGUAAAGUCAUUAUCCACAUUAAUUCUCAUGAAUCGUGGAGCAGUUGCUUUUUCCAGCAUUUUUCAUUUAAGACUGUGUCCAUGCUUUUUCUUCUUUUCACUGCUGAAUGUCAUGUAAAUACUUAUAUUUAAAAUCAUUUUCCCUGAUCCGAUGUGUUGUACAGUUCUGCAGACAUACUAUUGGAAAACACUUGAGGGAACUACGGUUGUACAUUUGUGGUACAUUGUGAUUAUUUUCCUGUAUAUAUACUGUUAUUAUUUUUUGCACUGAAGGCAUUAUUGACAAUGCCUGCAUGUUUGUAGAAUGAGGAAUGCACAGUGGACAAGGAAGUUGAGUACUACUACAUUUAUGUCCAUUACCGUCAGCCGGUUGUCGAAGCAGCAAUUGUGAGUAGUGUCCGUGAUCCUGAAGAUUCCAUCCUAGCUGCCUGUUUUACUUAAGCUAUUGACAUUUUAUGAGCACAGAUAGCAGUGGUCUUAACAUGUACUCUCUCACAAUAACUCUGUUCUUGGAAGGAACAGUACUUACUGUUGGAGGCAGUCCUCUGCAUCAAAAGUGUAGUGCGCUGGAUGAAAUAAGUCUUCGGAGCAUUUCCCAUAAGGAACCAUCCUCAACAUCAGGAUGUAAGUCACAUCAAGUAGGGAUGCUGAUGCUAGUCCCGGAGCUGUCACAAGCAAUCAUCGUCAAAAGAUGUCGUGAGGAUACUGGACAUUUGUGAUCCAAGGGGACAAAGCUGCAUAGAAGCACACCACCAAAGCAGCUGGUCAGCAGAGAACAGCUGGAACUGAGGCAAAGCAGGCAUAAUAUUUCACAAUUCCCAGGGUGGUUAUUCCUGCUGGGCAUCGCAGAGGUAAUUUCUUCCGCGAUGGGUGUGAAGCAAGAAGAGAGAGAAUGCUAUUGCGGCGCAUUGCUGAAAGUAUGCAAAGAACCAUUGUAUGUUCUCCCAAAAGAGUACCAGUUCAGUGCACAGUUUCCUGGAUGGUACCAUGUUCCAAGUUUGGCUGGCCAUGCCAGAUCUUGUGGACAUCUGAACCAGUUAUCAUUUGUACUGAAAGAACAGUGAUUGUAAUUAUAGAAGAUUAUUCUGGCCAUUCCUAGCAGGAAAAUGACACAAUGGCUAGCCUACUUGACCACAUCCUGAAGUAUCUUCACCUGCAGCUCUUCAAAUUGAGAUGGAACAUCAUCUACUUCAGACAAAUCAUCAUGUGUUAAACUGUGCUGCACUGGAUGCUACAACAGAAGUUCUACAUUGCAUGCAGUAACUUCCUCCAGUAACAUAUCUGCCUCAACUAUCCCGAGAUGUACAUCAGCAUUAGAAGAGCAAGGAUUGAGACACUGAAUAGUAGUUCAUAAGUGCUUUGAUUUUCUGCCACAUAUCCACACAAUAGCUGCUCACUCCACCGGGAUAGCCCAAUGAUGUUUUGGCUAAAUGAAGUGUAUAACUUAUGUGUUGUUACUUUUCUUCUUUAGAAAGCAGACAGCUUAGAAGAAGCAGCAGCAGCCGUGCACAAUGGGAGUUUCAGACCAGCACCUAAGCUGUGGAAGUCCUUUCAUGAUGUUAGCCAAGCAAGUUGCUGAGAAGAGAUAUGCAACAGCUAGAGGAACUUUUUGUACAAUAUGCACAUAGAGCCAACAUCAAAAGUUGAAUAGCAUCAGCUGUUCCUCAGUCAGUGUGUUUCUGGACUUGUAUCAAAGCUUUCUCAUGGAAGACAGGAUCACCAGAGGAGUGCAGGGCACCACAUGCAACGAGAAAGAUUACUGCCCACCUUCCACACUGCUCCUAGAUCCAUGUGGCUCAGGCUGUGUUGUGGGUACAUUGGCUCCACUGUGAGAACUUUUGUUAGGCCAUCAAGCUUCUAUGAUUGGAUACAAAGAAGACUAUUAUUAGAUGUGUUAUUACGUCCCUGUGCAUCCUGAUUCCGUCUGUUAAUAACUGUGUGCAUUUAGUGUAAUAUCAUGUUUCUGAAAUAAAUUGCUUUCAGCUUAUUUCAGAAACAUGGAUUAAUUCAGCUGUGGUUGCCCUCAACAGAAAAUUAUGUGUUAAUAUAAUAUCAGUCACAAUAAUCACUGUUAUGAUGUAUGGCAGAAUAUUAUUUACAUAAAUAGCAUGUGAUACGAUCCAAAUUCUCACCAUUUGUUUUAUGGCAGUAACACUGAUGCAGAGGAGCCACAUAAGAUACACGCAUUCAUGUUCAUGUAAACAACUGCAUAAUUUACAAUGUAAUGUUUAUUCAGUCAAAAAUGCCAUACCAUUUCGAGCUCCCGGCUCAUUUUCAGUGCUGAUAAAUACAUUUAAUACAGAUGCAUUCUAAUAGUUCUUUAAAUUUCCAUUGUCAUACUCGUGGAUCUAAUUUUUGAUCACACAUCUAAUGAAGAACAAGUGAUAAUGGUUCUUUAAUAUAGUAAGUUUUGAAAGACGAUGAAAGGAAAUAUGAUAAAGGUAGCUAAUGCUUGCUUACAGCUCGAUGUUUGUAAUCACACGAGAAUGUUUACAUCUUUAAGUUGAUAUCAAAACUAUAUUACACAAGAGGUACAGACAUUCAAAUCAAAAUUCAGAGCUUUACAGCAUAAUAAAUAUGUACAGACAUAUUUUUGAACAGUAAUGAAAAUAGCUAACUCAUAUGUUUAUUGAAAGUUACUGACAUGUAGAGAGUUGUAUUUACCUGAUGUUUUGUGAAAGCCAACUUUAGUCAUAUUAAUUACAGACUUAAAUUGUAGUGUAAUGAGAAUCUCUGAAAUUUCUUUUCAAGAAAAGCUCAUUUGUCACUUUAGUCUGGGCCUUAAGGAUUCACUUUUUUUGAAUGGAAUUUCUGUUAUAUUAAGCUUUUUGCCCAUGUCAGCCCAGUGUAAAAUCUUUACAUUGCAUUCAGUGUUAUCCACUGUGUAUUUAUUAGUGACCAGAUAGGAAUCAAAUGAGGUGCUGAGAACCAGAAGGGCCUAAAGCACAUCAGCGUCAAUAGUGAGACGGUAAAAUUUGUGCAUGUUUCUGAUAUACAUUGGUCUUAUGGAGGGUCAGUAUUUAUCUGUGCUGUAGGCCGAAAUUGCAUAUAUGAACAUUCUAGGAAAGCUGUCUCACCAGUUCCUCUGAUAUUUACUUCAAUGUGGGAUUGACAGUGAUGUGCUUUAAGCCCUUAUGGUUCUCAGUACCUCAAAUAUUUUGCAAUUCAAUGUACCUUCUAUAUCUCAUUUUCACAUCACACUACUUGCUUCAAAAUGGCAAGAUUUUCCAGUUACUACACAUCGAAAUAAUUUUUUUUUAAUUUUGUGUGUGGUUUUAUAUUUUAUGUAAUGUUGGCAGUUGGCUUCUUUAGCUUAUUUUGACAUCAGUGUGGGGAAACAUGUUCGAAGUAGAUAGAUGUUGCCAGAAAAAGGUGCUGCAACAAAUGUGAAAUUUGGUUUAGUUGGGAUUUACCUUCUGAUGGUGUGAGAAAGAGCUUAGUUUAUGAGCUUUGCUUCAAUUUUAUUUAAUGUCUUGUAUGUUAUUACAUACUGAUAUCCAUUAUUAGUCUGCAAGGUCAAUAUAAUUACCUGUGUAGGUUUUUUGGUGUAUUUCCUUGGUCCAACUUUCUAGUUGGAAAUACGUUGCUGUUCAUUACACAAUGUGUCAAAAAUGGGACUCAGAAUAUUGACACUCAUAUUUCACUUAAUGAAUUUAUGCAAUGAGAACUAAGCACUUCCUUUGUUACAGCAAAAGCCCACUAAACAUAUUUGUUCGUAAAACUAAAACGUUGUUUGUAAGAGGAUAAUGGGAAUCUGUGAACCAUUAACAAUGUGCAUAUAUGCUUAUUGAAAUGCUAUCUUGUGUACAAGCACAUUAUUUGCAUUGAUAUUUCCAAAUUGAAUGUGUGUUUUGAAAUUGUUAAUUUAUCAUCCAGGCUGUAAAAUGUACAUUUUAUUGAAUGUUUAAUAUUCUAAUGCAUCCUUUAUGGUUUGAGAUUACUGUAGUAGUUAUUUUAACGAAUUAAUGACUGAAUUCAUUGUCAUGUAACACUGAUGCAACGGCUUCGGUUAAACAGUUACUUGUAAAAUGCUCGCUGACAGGCUGCACGUAGCAAAUCUCUUAUUUUUUAACAUAUUAACCAUAGCUACUAUUAUCACUGCAUAUUCAUCAGUGUAUCUUGUUUGUUUUUCUUACACUCAGUAUGGAGUACAGCAUUUCAUUUGUCUCUCAAAUGUACAUAUUCAUCCCUCUAUGCAAGUUUUUGUUACAGCGAGCUUCAUACUAAUCUGGAGAGGUUACGCAGAAAACCAUGAGAGUCUUGCGUAGAGCUGCCAUGCUGGUGCUGGGCCAAUGUAAUACUUGUGCCUAUGGCAUCCAAGUGGGUCAUUCAGGGAACUGUAAACUAAACCUAAACAGUAUCACAUUAUAUCAGUAAGCAGUACUUCUAAUUCUCACAUUUAGCAGAACAGUUUGCCAGUUUGUUCCGAGCUGUCAUGGCAUCGUGUCACGGCUUGUGCUUCAUGGAUUCUCUCCAGUUUAGAUUUGAGCUCACUGCUUAAAUAUUAUAAAAUGUUAUCACUGACUGUGUAUGGGUAUUUUUCUCUUUUCCUGUUUUGCACAUAAUCUCAUAUAACUGUCAUGAAAGACUGGAAGAAAUAGGUAUGUCAGAGUGGCAGUCAAUUGUUAAUUGAUAACUGUAUAAGAAGGCAUAACUUAUUCCUAAUACAAUAAAAUACUGUGAAACAGACAAA